GACGAACGGUGGCGGCGUGCUUAACACAUGCAAGUCGAACGGAGUGGCGAACGGGUGAGUAACACGUGGGUGACCUGUCUUGCACUUCCGGAUAAGCUUGGGAAACUGGGUCUAAUACCGUAUAGUGCAAGAUGAGCUCUCGGCCUAUGAGCUUGUUGGUGGGGUAAUGGCCUACCAAGGCGUCGUCGGGUAGCCGGCCUGGGAGGGUGUACGGCGAAAAUACGCCUUAGAGACGGACCAGAAUCCAAUGGGAGGCAGCGGUGGGGAAUAUUGCACAAUGGGCGGAAGCCUGAUGCAGCGACGCCGCGUGGGGAAUGAAGGCCUUCGGGUUGUAAACUCCUAUCGACAGGGACGCGGUACCUGUAUAGGAAGCACCGGCUAACUACGUGCCAGCAGCCGCGGUAAUUC
This 408-nucleotide ribosomal RNA is filed under the name uncultured bacterium. RNAcentral describes it as "partial 16S ribosomal RNA". It matches the Rfam family "Bacterial small subunit ribosomal RNA", at positions 28 to 526 of the family's 1533-position model. The record is from RNAcentral.